This is a small nuclear RNA of Molossus molossus (Pallas's mastiff bat), 165 nucleotides long. RefSeq annotates it as U1 spliceosomal RNA. The record is from RefSeq and is a predicted model, not a curated record. Lineage: Eukaryota; Metazoa; Chordata; Mammalia; Chiroptera; Molossidae. The transcript has a single exon.
AUACUUAACCUGGCAGAGGAGAUACCAUGAUCAUGAAGGUGGUUUUCCCAGGGUGAGGCUCACCCAUUGUACCCCAGGUGUGCUGGUUCCUGUGAUUUCCUCAAAUGUGUGAAACUCGACUGCAUAAUUUGUAGUAGUGGGGAACUGCAUUCAUGCUCUCCCCUG